Chaetomium strumarium is the source of this 84-nucleotide non-coding RNA. Lineage: Eukaryota; Fungi; Ascomycota; Sordariomycetes; Sordariales; Chaetomiaceae. The record is from the annotation of a RefSeq genome assembly.
GCCUGCUUAGCAUAGUGGCUAAUGCGUUGCACUUGUACUGUUUGACAAAUGCAAAGAUCACAGGUUCGAUUCCUGUAGUAGGCA